Small nucleolar RNA from Dipodomys ordii (Ord's kangaroo rat), 70 nucleotides. The record is from Ensembl. NCBI's taxonomy places the organism in Eukaryota, Metazoa, Chordata, Mammalia, Rodentia, Heteromyidae.
GAGCAAUGAUGAAAAAAUUUUAAUACUGACCAUUGUAACAAUGAAGGUUUCUACACUUGACCUGAGCUCA